RNAcentral lists this ribosomal RNA (468 nucleotides) under uncultured bacterium. RNAcentral describes it as "partial 16S ribosomal RNA". It matches the Rfam family "Bacterial small subunit ribosomal RNA", at positions 28 to 507 of the family's 1533-position model. The record is from RNAcentral.
GACGAACGCUGGCGGCGUGCUUAACACAUGCCAGUCGAACGGAAAGGCCCUGCUUUUGUGGGGUGCUCGAGUGGCGAACGGGUGAGUAACACGUGAGUAACCUGCCCUUGACUUUGGGAUAACUUCAGGAAACUGGGGCUAAUACCGGAUAGGAGCUCCUGCUGCAUGGUGGGGGGUGGAAAGUUUCGGCGGUUGGGGAUGGACUCGCGGCUUAUCGGCCUGUUGGUGGGGUAGUGGCUUACCAAGGCUUUGAAGGGUAGCCGGCCUGGGAGGGUGAACGGCCACAUUGGGACUGAGAUACGGCCCAGACUCCUACGGGAGGCAGCAGUGGAGAAUAUUGCACAAUGGGCGGAAGCCUGAUGCAGCAACGCCGCGUGCGGGAUGACGGCCUUCGGGUUGUAAACCGCUUUCGCCUGUGACGAAGCGUGAGUGACGGUAAUGGGUAAAGAAGCACCGGCUAACUACGUG